Molecule: ribosomal RNA, 379 nt
Filed under: uncultured bacterium
Lineage: Bacteria
Description: bacterial SSU rRNA
Rfam family: Bacterial small subunit ribosomal RNA
Source: RNAcentral
UAAUACAGAGGGGGCAAGCGUUGUCCGGAUUUACUGGGCGUACAGCGCGCGCAGGCGGUUGCGUAUGUGAGCGGUGACAUCCGCGGGCUCAACCCGCGGCGGCCCGCUUACACAGCGCGACUGGAGGCAGGGAGAGGGAUGUGGAAUACCCGGUGGAGCGGUGAAAUGCGUAGAGAUCGGGUGGAACACCAGCGGCGAAGGCGGCAUCCUGGCCCUGUACUGACGCUGAGGCGCGAUAGCGUGGGGAGCAAACGGGAUUAGAUACCCCGGUAGUCCACGCCGUAAACGAUGUGGAGCCGGUGCUGGAUAGUGAUUGCGCUGUUCGGUGCCUAAGCUUACGCGAUGACUCCACCGCCUGGGAACUACGGCCGCAAGGCUA